CUGCUGGAAACACCUCCAAACCAGCAACAAAGCCCCUCAAGAUCUGGAUUUACAAUUCACCCAAAAAUCCAAUAAAAACCAUCAAUUUACCAAAAAUUUCAGCACUUAAGCUUAAUUAUCUCAAUUCCAAUGUCAAAACUCACCUAAUGAUCUCCAAAUCGGGUGAGGACAGAUCCAAAUCCAGCAACUACUGAUGGGUGAUCAAUCUCAGGUCCAAAAUCCCACUGUCUACAAAGUUAGCAUCAAGAAAAGCUCAAAAAUUCCAAUUUCAGCUCAAAAUCAACAACAGUCCAGAAAAACCUCAGUUCGACCAAGCUAACCUCAACCAAAAUCAGUAAUUUA
RNAcentral lists this long non-coding RNA (342 nucleotides) under Ananas comosus (pineapple). RNAcentral's name for it is "long non-coding RNA (ACOM_LNC040506)". Lineage: Eukaryota; Viridiplantae; Streptophyta; Magnoliopsida; Poales; Bromeliaceae. The record is from RNAcentral.